GAUGAACGCUGGCGGCGUGCCUAAUACAUGCAAGUCGAGCGAACAGACGAGGAGCUUGCUCCUCUAACGUUAGCGGCGGACGGGUGAGUAACACGUGGAUAACCUACCUAUAAGACUGGGAUAACUUCGGGAAACCGGAGCUAAUACCGGAUAAUAUAUUGAACCGCAUGGUUCAAUAGUGAAAGACGGUUUUGCUGUCACUUAUAGAUGGAUCCGCGCCGCAUUAGCUAGUUGGUAAGGUAACAGCUUACCAAGGCAACGAUGCGUAGCCGACCUGAGAGGGUGAUCGGCCACACUGGAACUGAGACACGGUCCAGACUCCUACGGGAGGCAGCAGUAGGGAAUCUUCCGCAGUGGGCGAAAGCCUGACGGAGCAACGCCGCGUGAGUGAUGAAGGUCUUCGGAUCGUAAAACUCUGUUAUUAGGGAAGAACAAAUGUGUAAGUAACUAUGCACGUCUUGACGGUACCUAAUCAGAAAGCCACGGCUAACUACGUG
Molecule: ribosomal RNA, 497 nt
Filed under: uncultured bacterium
Lineage: Bacteria
Description: partial 16S ribosomal RNA
Rfam family: Bacterial small subunit ribosomal RNA
Source: RNAcentral